CCCUUAGAUGUUCUGGGCCGCACGCGCGCUACACUGAUGCAUUCAACAAGUUCUACCUUGGCCGAGAGGCCUGGGAAAUCUUUCAAAUAUGUAUCGUGAUAGGGAUAGAUUAUUGCAAUUAUUAAUCUUGAACGAGGAAUUCCUAGUAAAUGCAGAUCAUCAUUCUGCGUUGAUUACGUCCCUGCCCCUUGUACACACCGCCCGUCGCACCUACCGAUUGAAUGAUCCGGUGAAGCCUCGGGAUUGUGCCCAGAGAACUUUAUUGUGAUUUGGGUGUGAGAACUUGUCUAAACCUUAUCAUUUAGAGGAAGGUGAAGUCGUAACA
Molecule: ribosomal RNA, 325 nt
Filed under: uncultured eukaryote
Lineage: Eukaryota
Description: partial 18S ribosomal RNA
Rfam family: Eukaryotic small subunit ribosomal RNA
Source: RNAcentral